CUUAACCCAAAACAUCCUUUAAGUUUCCUAAAAGUUGAGCAAAAACACCCUUCGGUAAUAUUUCCGUCUAUAUUUGACAGAUCUUUGUACGUGACUUCUCCUUUUUCCCCCUUUCUCGCAAACUCUUUCCCUCCUUCCUCCUUUUGGCAGAACAAAAAGCCAUUUUUGCGAAGCUUGAGAAAGGGUUUCUAAUGAUGGAACAACUUUUUCUUGGGUGAAGAUUUGUAAAUUUGACGACCUCACUAUUGAAUUUGUGAUACACACCUAACCAGGGUUUCAAACAGUUAGAAGAGGUUAGUAGCAUGAAUGUGCAUCAAGUUGCAUAGCGUCAAAGAUGUGAUAGUCAUUACCAUUUUGUUCACUUUCUAAUGACAGGAUUUAUUUUGAAAUGACUCAAGUUCAUUUUGUAAUGUGAUGACUUCUCAUUUUGUGAUGUCAUGACUUCUAAGCGAAUUAAGUUCAUUCUGUAUGAUGCUAUUAUGAAGUUUUUAGAAUUUGAUUAUUACAUGGUUCAACUUUGGCA
Molecule: long non-coding RNA, 523 nt
Organism: Lycium barbarum (goji berry)
Lineage: Eukaryota; Viridiplantae; Streptophyta; Magnoliopsida; Solanales; Solanaceae
Exons: 2
Source: RefSeq, a predicted model, not a curated record